This is a long non-coding RNA of Cucurbita pepo subsp. pepo (vegetable marrow), 553 nucleotides long. RefSeq lists it as uncharacterized. The record is from RefSeq and is a predicted model, not a curated record. Lineage: Eukaryota; Viridiplantae; Streptophyta; Magnoliopsida; Cucurbitales; Cucurbitaceae.
GUUCGAUCGUGCCUUUGUCGAGAGUCGAUAUGUUAACGGUUUUGUGCUAUUUUCUUUCCCCACAUGGCAUGAUGGAAGGAUUGCUUUGUUGAAGAGCAGUAUCACAGCUGAUAUCUUUCUCUCACAAAAAUAGGCAGGGUGUUGGAGCGCGAUCAACUGCUACAUAAAGGCUGAGGUUUUGUUCUAAAAGUGUCUUGCAAUGGCAGCCUGCAAACUGGACAGGUAGAUUGCUUUCUCAGCCAUACAUCAAUGCAGGAGAGAUGAAAACUGUGACCACAUUUGGGAAAUUUGGUAAUGAAUUGAAAGUUGUACUCACUGAGCAUCUUCUACAGAACUGAAAGCCUCCAGGUCGAACUUCAUCGUUGGUAUAGCAGCUAUGAGAACCGGUUCGAGACCACUCACCCGAGACUCUGGCUGGCAUCAAACAACAAAAGAAUCAAGAGACUUGUCAUUUUGUCAUACAGAUAAAUACAAAUAACACGCUGCAGAUCCGGAUUAAGAGAGAAGCAGCCAUUAUUUCUUACCUGCUGCUCAAGAUCAACCCUGGAUUCAA